AAUACAUGCAAGUCGAACGCUUCUUUCCUCCCGAGUGCUUGCACUCAAUUGGAAAGAGGAGUGGCGGACGGGUGAGUAACACGUGGGUAACCUACCCAUCAGAGGGGGAUAACACUUGGAAACAGGUGCUAAUACCGCAUAACAGUUUAUGCCGCAUGGCAUAAGAGUGAAAGGCGCUUUCGGGUGUCGCUGAUGGAUGGACCCGCGGUGCAUUAGCUAGUUGGUGAGGUAACGGCUCACCAAGGCCACGAUGCAUAGCCGACCUGAGAGGGUGAUCGGCCACACUGGGACUGAGACACGGCCCAGACUCCUACGGGAGGCAGCAGUAGGGAAUCUUCGGCAAUGGACGAAAGUCUGACCGAGCAACGCCGCGUGAGUGAAGAAGGUUUUCGGAUCGUAAAACUCUGUUGUUAGAGAAGAACAAGGACGUUAGUAACUGAACGUCCCCUGACGGUAUCUAACCAGAAAGCCACGGCUAACUACGUGCCAGCAGCCGCGGUAAUACGUAGGUGGCAAGCGUUGUCCGGAUUUAUUGGGCGUAAAGCGAGCGCAGGCGGUUUCUUAAGUCUGAUGUGAAAGCCCCCGGCUCAACCGGGGAGGGUCAUUGGAAACUGGGAGACUUGAGUGCAGAAGAGGAGAGUGGAAUUCCAUGUGUAGCGGUGAAAUGCGUAGAUAUAUGGAGGAACACCAGUGGCGAAGGCGGCUCUCUGGUCUGUAACUGACGCU
Molecule: ribosomal RNA, 726 nt
Filed under: uncultured Enterococcus sp.
Lineage: Bacteria; Bacillati; Bacillota; Bacilli; Lactobacillales; Enterococcaceae
Description: bacterial SSU rRNA
Rfam family: Bacterial small subunit ribosomal RNA
Source: RNAcentral